GGGAAGCAAUAUUAAGUUCAAUAUAAAUAACACCCCUUAGCUUAAUUACUUAGCACAAGUUAGAGAUAACAUUUACAUAAUAUUCAGUAAUUUAGUUCAUGUCGUGUGAACCUUUAAAUGGAUCUGGAGAAUGUAAAACAAAGAAGAAUAACCGAAGAAAGGCUAAUGGAGAAAAUGAUUAAAACUGUAGAAUUAGAGAAGAAAAGAAGGAAUAGGGUUAGAAGUAAUUAUCUUGAUUAGUCCCUUAAGCUCUAGGGUGCAUUUAUAUACACUUUGAAUAUAGAUCAAAUCGGUAAUACAAUCAACUCCCACAAUCACAACAUCAUAAUCACAUCGUUCACACAAAUUCACAAGCUAUCAUUCUAUUAAGCCUCACAUCAGCUAGGUAUUGGGCAAAAGUGCUUCUUCUAUGAAUUGAGCAAUCCUCUCCCACAUAGUGCCUUUUAGGAUAGAGUUAGGUCCAGUACAUUUGAUCAAUAUGGUAUCAAAGCUGACCCCAGUCUCAAUGUUUGGUCAUCCACAUAUGUUCAAUCCUGAAAAUUUCAUGCCCCAAAUGUACAGUCCUGGGCAUGAGAGGUUGUGUUAAAUUCCACAUCAGCUGGGUAUUGGGUAAAAGUGCUUAUAUGACUCGAGCAAUUCUCCCUCCCAUGGUGCCUUUUAGGGUGGACUUCAAUCCGGUCCAUUUUAUCAACAUGGCAUCAAAGCCAAACACUGUCUCAAUGUUGGGCUAGCUAUAGAUAUUCAGUCAUAAACUUCACACUCCAGAUGUUCAGUCCUGAGCAUGAGAAGGUAUCUUAAGUCUCACAUCGGCUAGGUAUCAGUGUUGUCAAGCGGCACCCAGGCAAGGCAAAAUCUAGGCUCUAUCUAGGUGCCCAGGCAAGGCCCAGGUGAGAAAUUAAUUUUAAAAAAAAAUUGAGAAAGAGAAGACGAAGACGAUGAUGAUAUGGUGGAUGUUGAAGAAGAUGAUGGCUUGAGAAUUGAGAUUUUAAAUUUGCAUUACAUAACGAAUGAAAAUGAACAAUGCAUCUAGAAUUUUAA
Molecule: unclassified non-coding RNA, 1038 nt
Filed under: Hevea brasiliensis (rubber tree)
Lineage: Eukaryota; Viridiplantae; Streptophyta; Magnoliopsida; Malpighiales; Euphorbiaceae
Source: RNAcentral